UUCAAAACAGCCGCCAGGAACACCUUCAACUGUUCCACUGUCAGCCAUCUUGUUUUUACACCUCCAGCUGUUCCACUGCCAGCCAUGUUUUGUUUUUAUAGCUGAUAAACAGUGAAACAGUGAGUGACAGUGACAGUGGCAGUGGCAACUCAAUUAUCAGUGUUUGACAGUGAUGAAGACGAAAAAAGAGUAUAAGUGGUUGCAGAUGACAAACUGUCGGUCAUUGUAGAAACACAAGACGUCAGAAAAACCACACCAUGUGGUAAAAAGAUGGAAAAUAAAAGCCCACUGAGGAUGCUGCAACUGCAGUGAAACAUGUCUGGGUUAAAAAACAAAACUGUGUUUUGCUAAAGGCGG
This is a long non-coding RNA of Schistocerca gregaria, 357 nucleotides long. RefSeq lists it as uncharacterized. Lineage: Eukaryota; Metazoa; Arthropoda; Insecta; Orthoptera; Acrididae. The transcript is spliced from 3 exons. The record is from RefSeq and is a predicted model, not a curated record.